GGGGAAUAUUGCACAAUGGGCGCAAGCCUGAUGCAGCCAUGCCGCGUGUAUGAAGAAGGCCUUCGGGUUGUAAAGUACUUUCAGCGAGGAGGAAGGCGUUAAGGUUAAUAACCUUAACGAUUGACGUUACUCGCAGAAGAAGCACCGGCUAACUCCGUGCCAGCAGCCGCGGUAAUACGGAGGGUGCAAGCGUUAAUCGGAAUUACUGGGCGUAAAGCGCACGCAGGCGGUCUGUCAAGUCGGAUGUGAAAUCCCCGGGCUCAACCUGGGAACUGCAUUCGAAACUGGCAGGCUAGAGUCUUGUAGAGGGGGGUAGAAUUCCAGGUGUAGCGGUGAAAUGCGUAGAGAUCUGGAGGAAUACCGGUGGCGAAGGCGGCCCCCUGGACAAAGACUGACGCUCAGGUGCGAAAGCGUGGGGAGCAAAC
RNAcentral lists this ribosomal RNA (425 nucleotides) under uncultured bacterium. RNAcentral describes it as "bacterial SSU rRNA". It matches the Rfam family "Bacterial small subunit ribosomal RNA", at positions 356 to 773 of the family's 1533-position model. The record is from RNAcentral.